Molecule: ribosomal RNA, 215 nt
Filed under: uncultured bacterium
Lineage: Bacteria
Description: partial 16S ribosomal RNA
Rfam family: Bacterial small subunit ribosomal RNA
Source: RNAcentral
GACGAACGCUGGCGGCGUGCUUACACAUGCAAGUCGAAUGCUGAACCGGUUUCGGCCGGGGAUGAGUGGCGAACGGGUGAGUAACACGUGGGUAAUCUGCCCUGCACUCUGGGNUAGCCUUGGAAACGNGGUCUAAUACCGGAUAUCACCUUCUCUCGCAUGGGAGAGGGUUGAAAGUUCUGGCGGUGCAGGAUGAACCCGCGGCCUAUCAGCUU